This 253-nucleotide ribosomal RNA is filed under the name uncultured bacterium. RNAcentral describes it as "partial 16S ribosomal RNA". It matches the Rfam family "Bacterial small subunit ribosomal RNA", at positions 524 to 776 of the family's 1533-position model. The record is from RNAcentral.
UACGGAGGGGGCUAGCGUUGUUCGGAAUUACUGGGCGUAAAGCGCGCGUAGGCGGACCUGCAAGUCGGGGGUGAAAGCCCGAGGCUCAACCUCGGAACUGCCUUCGAUACUGCGGGUCUCGAGUCCGGGAGAGGUGAGUGGAAUUCCUAGUGUAGAGGUGAAAUUCGUAGAUAUUGGGAAGAACACCAGUGGCGAAGGCGGCUCACUGGCCCGUAACUGACGCUGAGGUGCGAAAGCGUGGGGAGCAAACAGG